GACGAACGCUGGCGGCGUGCCUAAUACAUGCAAGUAGAACGCUGAAGGAGGAGCUUGCUUCUCUGGAUGAGUUGCGAACGGGUGAGUAACGCGUAGGUAACCUGCCUGGUAGCGGGGGAUAACUAUUGGAAACGAUAGCUAAUACCGCAUAAGAGUAGAUGUCGCAUGACAUUUGCUUAAAAGGUGCAAUUGCAUCACUACCAGAUGGACCUGCGUUGUAUUAGCUAGUUGGUGAGGUAACGGCUCACCAAGGCAACGAUACAUAGCCGACCUGAGAGGGUGAUCGGCCACACUGGGACUGAGACACGGCCCAGACUCCUACGGGAGGCAGCAGUAGGGAAUCUUCGGCAAUGGACGGAAGUCUGACCGAGCAACGCCGCGUGAGUGAAGAAGGGUUUCGGAUCGUAAAGCUCUGUUGUAAGAGAAGAACGAGUGUGAGAGUGGAAAGUUCACACUGUGACGGUAUCUUACCAGAAAGGGACGGCUAACUACG
Molecule: ribosomal RNA, 493 nt
Filed under: uncultured bacterium
Lineage: Bacteria
Description: partial 16S ribosomal RNA
Rfam family: Bacterial small subunit ribosomal RNA
Source: RNAcentral